CUACGUGCCAGCAGCCGCGGUAAUACGUAGGACGCGAGCGUUGUCCGGAAUUAUUGGGCGUAAAGAGCUUGUAGGCGGUUUGUCGCGUCUGCUGUGAAAGGCCGGGGCUUAACUCCGUGUAUUGCAGUGGGUACGGGCAGACUAGAGUGCAGUAGGGGAGACUGGAAUUCCUGGUGUAGCGGUGGAAUGCGCAGAUAUCAGGAGGAACACCGAUGGCGAAGGCAGGUCUCUGGGCUGUAACUGACGCUGAGAAGCGAAAGCAUGGGGAGCGAACAGGAUUAGAUACCCUGGUAGUCCACGCUGUAAACGAUGUCGAUUUGGGGGUUGAGCUUUGAGCUUGGCGCCCGUAGCUAACGUGAUAAAUCGACCGCCUGGGGAGUACGGCCGCAAGGUUAAAACUCAAAUGAAUUGACGGGGGCCCGCACAAGCGGUGGAGCAUGUGGUUUAAUUCGAUGCAACGCGAAGAACCUUACCUACUCUUGACAUCCAGA
RNAcentral lists this ribosomal RNA (491 nucleotides) under uncultured bacterium. Its description in RNAcentral is "bacterial SSU rRNA". It matches the Rfam family "Bacterial small subunit ribosomal RNA", at positions 501 to 992 of the family's 1533-position model. The record is from RNAcentral.